UGGGGAAUAUUGCACAAUGGGCGCAAGCCUGAUGCAGCGACGCCGCGUGGGGGAUGACGGCCUUCGGGUUGUAAACCUCUUUCAGUAGGGACGAAGCGCGAGUGACGGUACCUACAGAAGAAGCACCGGCCAACUACGUGCCAGCAGCCGCGGUAAUACGUAGGGUGCGAGCGUUGUCCGGAAUUACUGGGCGUAAAGAGCUCGUAGGUGGUUUGUCGCGUUGUUCGUGAAAACCGGGGGCUUAACCCUCGGCGUGCGGGCGAUACGGGCAGACUGGAGUACUGCAGGGGAGACUGGAAUUCCUGGUGUAGCGGUGGAAUGCGCAGAUAUCAGGAGGAACACCGGUGGCGAAGGCGGGUCUCUGGGCAGUAACUGACGCUGAGGAGCGAAAAGCGUGGGGGAGCGAAACAGGAUUAGAUACCCUGGUAGUCCACGCCGUAAAACGGUGGGUACUAGGUGUGGGGUUUCCUUCCUUGGGAUCCGGUGCCGUUAGCUAAACGC
RNAcentral lists this ribosomal RNA (501 nucleotides) under uncultured Actinomycetes bacterium. RNAcentral describes it as "bacterial SSU rRNA". It matches the Rfam family "Bacterial small subunit ribosomal RNA", at positions 355 to 858 of the family's 1533-position model. The record is from RNAcentral. Lineage: Bacteria; Bacillati; Actinomycetota; Actinomycetes.